GUGGGGAAUAUUGGACAAUGGGCGAAAGCCUGAUCCAGCCAUGCCGCGUGUGUGAAGAAGGUCUUCGGAUUGUAAAGCACUUUAAGUUGGGAGGAAGGGCAGUAAGUUAAUACCUUGCUGUUUUGACGUUACCGACAGAAUAAGCACCGGCUAACUUCGUGCCAGCAGCCGCGGUAAUACGAAGGGUGCAAGCGUUAAUCGGAAUUACUGGGCGUAAAGCGCGCGUAGGUGGUUUUGUAAGUUGGAGGUGAAAUCCCCGGGCUCAACCUGGGAACUGACUCCAAAACUGCAUGACUGGAGUACGGUAGAGGGUAGUGGAAUUUCCUGUGUAGCGGUGAAAUGCGUAGAUAUAGGAAGGAACACCAGUGGCGAAGGCGACUACCUGGACUGAUACUGACACUGAGGUGCGAAAGCGUGGGGAGCAAACAGGAUUAGAAACCCGUGUAGUCC
Molecule: ribosomal RNA, 450 nt
Filed under: uncultured bacterium
Lineage: Bacteria
Description: partial 16S ribosomal RNA
Rfam family: Bacterial small subunit ribosomal RNA
Source: RNAcentral